Non-coding RNA from Paramuricea clavata, 73 nucleotides. The record is from the annotation of a GenBank genome assembly. NCBI's taxonomy places the organism in Eukaryota, Metazoa, Cnidaria, Anthozoa, Malacalcyonacea, Plexauridae.
GACCGCGUAGCUCAGUUGGCAGAGCAUUGGGCUAGUAUUCCAAAGGUCGUAGGUUCGAUUCCCACCGUGAUCA